RNAcentral lists this ribosomal RNA (309 nucleotides) under uncultured Helotiales. RNAcentral's name for it is "partial large subunit ribosomal RNA". It matches the Rfam family "Eukaryotic large subunit ribosomal RNA", at positions 40 to 350 of the family's 3401-position model. Lineage: Eukaryota; Fungi; Ascomycota; Leotiomycetes; Helotiales. The record is from RNAcentral.
AUAUCAAUAGGCGGAGGAAAAGAAACCAACAGGGAUUGCCUUAGUAACGGCGAGUGAAGCGGCAACAGCUCAAAUUUGAAAUCUGCCUCUAGGCCGAGUUGUAAUUUGUAGAAGAUGCUUCGGGUGUGGCACCGGUCUAAGUUCCUUGGAACAGGACGUCAUAGAGGGUGAGAACCCCGUAUGCGUUCGGCCGCCAUUGCCUCUGUGAAGCUCCUUCGAAGAGUCGAGUUGUUUGGGAAUGCAGCUCUAAAUGGGUGGUAAAUUCCAUCUAAAGCUAAAUACUGGCCAGAGACCGAUAGCGCACAAGUA